Molecule: ribosomal RNA, 881 nt
Filed under: Hymenoscyphus yui
Lineage: Eukaryota; Fungi; Ascomycota; Leotiomycetes; Helotiales; Helotiaceae
Description: partial 28S ribosomal RNA
Rfam family: Eukaryotic large subunit ribosomal RNA
Source: RNAcentral
AUAUCAAUAAGCGGAGGAAAAGAAACCAACAGGGAUUACCUCAGUAACGGCGAGUGAAGCGGUAACAGCUCAAAUUUGAAAUCUGGCGCUCUCAGCGUCCGAGUUGUAAUUUGUAGAAGAUGCUUUGGGUGUGGCUCCGGUCUAAGUUCCUUGGAACAGGACGUCAUAGAGGGUGAGAAUCCCGUAUGUGACUGGCGGCCUUCGCCUGUGUAAAGCUCUUUCGACGAGUCGAGUUGUUUGGGAAUGCAGCUCUAAAUGGGAGGUAUAUUUCUUCUAAAGCUAAAUAUGGGCCAGAGACCGAUAGCGCACAAGUAGAGUGAUCGAAAGAUGAAAAGCACUUUGGAAAGAGAGUUAAACAGUACGUGAAAUUGUUGAAAGGGAAGCGCUUGCAACCAGACUUGCCUGCCGUCGAUCAUCCUGGGUUCUCCCUGGUGCACUCGGCGGUGGUCAGGCCAGCAUCGGUUUCGGUGGUGGGAUAAAGGCCUUGGGAACGUAGCUCCUCUCGGGGAGUGUUAUAGCCCUCGGUGCAAUGCCGCCUACCGGGACCGAGGACCGCGCUUCGGCUAGGAUGCUGGCGUAAUGGUUGUAAGCGACCCGUCUUGAAACACGGACCAAGGAGUCUAACAUCUAUGCGAGUGUUUGGGUGUUAAACCCAUACGCGUAAUUAACGUGAAUGGAGGUGAGAACCCUUUAGGGUGCAUCAUCGACCGAUCCUGAUGUCUUCGGAUGGAUUUGAGUAAGAGCAUAGCUGUUGGGACCCGAAAGAUGGUGAACUAUGCCUAAAUAGGGUGAAGCCAGAGGAAACUCUGGUGGAGGCUCGCAGCGGUUCUGACGUGCAAAUCGAUCGUCAAAUUUGGGUAUAGGGGCGAAAGACUAAUCGA